CAUCAAAUGUCAAAGGAAACUGACAAGUUUGCGUUUUAUUCCUUUUGAGUGAAAUAAUGUAUUUUUACAUUUUAAAUUUUUGUGGAGACCUUGGGUACACCAUUAGAAAUAAACUGUCAAAAGUUCCCAUCGAUCACAUGAGUGCUAAAAAAGUUAUUCGGAGUCAAAGGUCAAAAUUUGCGGUUUUUUAGAUUUUUUUCGAAAACGUGAGGAGAAUCUACAAUCAAGAAUGAGAAAAGUUUCAAUUGUUUGGGGCUUACUUUGGCAUCAGUUGGGUCCAAAUCCAUUUUUUUGGGGCCGAAUGUGACACAUGUCCUCCCAGUUGCGCACAACCCCAUUUUCCAUCGGGUAAUUCACCUCGAGGAGGGAACGCAAAGCGGAGGCUUCAUCCCCGCUUCGUUGCAAUUUGUUAAGGUUGGUAAUAGUUUGGUUUCUCACCAACUGAGCAUCCAUUUUGUUUUCUAUUUCUGUUGAAAAAGUUGCGAUUGAUCUGAUGGCUUCUAUAGAUGAGAUGAGAGAAAUUGAAAGAGAUUAUCCCAAUUUCUUUAAKCGUAAGCACUUGACAAUCGUAUUUUUGCUUGCUACGUACGUAUAUUGAAUUUAUUUUAGCUCAUCUYGGAUUWYUGGUGUGUUGCACCGGGCAAAAUAGCGAGGACGAUCAGGAAAACUUAAAACGAGCCUUUACCCGAACGUGCUCCAAAUAUUUUUAUGUAAAGAAUGUGAGCAUACGUAAAGGGAUCAAUAAUUGUAGUUGGUGCCAGGCGGWAGUGACCUACGGACUACCAGACAACAAGGAUUUACCCGAGGAACCAGAUCUAAAGCACUUAGUGAGUUAUCUUCUUAAACAUGCACCAARAAACUCAGUCAUCAUUGGAGACAAAAGACAGUUAGAAUUACCUAAACAUGUGAUCAUUCCAUACGAAAUAUAUUGUAAUUGCCGGAUGAAGUUUUUUAGCAAGGCUGCCUAACCAUCUUAAAUGCAGCCUUUAAUACACUUUCAGGAAUUACAGGCUUAAUGGGAAACUGCACUAUUAUUACUAUUAAUAUUAUCAACUUGUUUGUGGCCAUAAUAAAUCUGACCAUCAGAAUGUUUUCGCUUAGGUGUGAGGAAGAGAAAGCGACGAUUACGGCGAAACUAGAGGAGACAGUCCAAAAUGCUUAGAAAAUUCGUAAUCAGCGCGUCAAAAUCUAUCGGUUUAAAUUGAAUCUGAGACAUGUUCAAAAAUACUAGUUUUUAUGUGUGUUAACGGA
Molecule: long non-coding RNA, 1251 nt
Organism: Tribolium madens (black flour beetle)
Lineage: Eukaryota; Metazoa; Arthropoda; Insecta; Coleoptera; Tenebrionidae
Exons: 4
Source: RefSeq, a predicted model, not a curated record